UGGCGCGCAGAAAGUAUUGUGUCGUACGUUCUAAAUGUCAAAUUUUUAGUAAUAAUGCCAGAAAUAACUCUGUAUGUAUGAAUGUAAAAUAUACAAUCAUUGGCAACUGUCUCCUCCUAGUGGGGGUGAGUGAGGCACAACGCCAGCAGUCACAUGUUGUGUCUUGUUGAGUGAGGAUCCUCUGUCGACGCGUGCUCUAUUUUUGCUCCGGAAUAUUGCAUUUGUUGCAUCUACUGCACAAUGACAUGUAAGAGGAAGAGUCACAAGAUUAGAGCAGCAAAUCUGGCACUCGUUCGCAGUCUUUAUCAGCAAAAGAAAGUAGCUUUAGCGCAAAGACGAGUAAUAUCAAGGAGAUUGUGGUGGCCUCCCGGCAUCAGCUGUGAGGCGUGACUCGCCCCCUUCUCACUCACCCACCUCGACCCUCCACACACACCCUCCUCGAGUAAUGAGAAUGAUAUAACUGAUUGAUACUUCAGUAGAAAGGAGAAGUUGAUGCAGAAACCAACGACACGCACCACCAAGCCGAGACAAGCUCCUGAGGAAGGUGAUCCCAGCUAUAGGGCAGGUGCCUAUUAGUGCCCAUUGCAGUGCCACCUUGAGGACCCACAAUUCGGACCAAUUACAAUAGGGGAUUUGCAUGGAACUUACGCACCUUGCUGAAUGGAUGCCUAUCUGCAAGGGUGCCAAUUAUGAACGAAAUUGGUAGACGUCAAGCUCGGCUACAGGUGGCCAAACUUUGAUCUUAUUUUACUCAGGGUGUGAUGCUGAAACUUGGACUAGUUGCAGCCCUUUCUAUAACCAUUACAUGAAUAAAUUUUGAAAAAAAUCGAAACAUUUUUUAUUUUCCCGUAAUUAGACUCCCUUCAGUGAUUUGUAUGAUA
This is a long non-coding RNA of Procambarus clarkii (red swamp crayfish), 881 nucleotides long. RefSeq lists it as uncharacterized. The record is from RefSeq and is a predicted model, not a curated record. Lineage: Eukaryota; Metazoa; Arthropoda; Malacostraca; Decapoda; Cambaridae.